GUCUAUUAGAGGGUAUUUAUAGUCUAGCCUGCUCACUGAUAAAAAUUAUUAAAUAGCCGCGGUAUCUUGACCGUGCAAAGGUAGCAUAAUCAUUAGUUUUUUAAUUGAAAACUUGUAUGAAUGGUUGGACAAAGAAAAAGCUGUCUCUUUCAUUAAAAUUGAAUUUAACUUCUAAGUGAAAAGGCUUAGAUAUUUUAGAGGGACGAUAAGACCCUAUAAAGCUUUAUAAAUUUAGAAAUUUUAUAUAUUUCUUUAAUAAUGAUAAUCUUUUGAAAAUUUAUUGGGUUGGGGCAACAAAAGUAUAAUUAUUAAUAACUGCUAGAAAGUAUUACAAUUGUUUUUGUCAUAAAGAAAAUUAGUUGAUCCCUGAAAGGGAUUAAAAGAUCAAGUUACUUUAGGGAUAACAGCGUAAUUUAUUCUGAGAGUCCUUAUCAAAGAAUAAGUUUGCGACCUCGAUGUUGAAUUAAAAUGUCUUUAUAGUGCAGCAGCUAUAUAAGAAGGUCUGUUCGACCUUUAAUUUUUU
Molecule: ribosomal RNA, 523 nt
Filed under: Portunus trituberculatus (swimming crab)
Lineage: Eukaryota; Metazoa; Arthropoda; Malacostraca; Decapoda; Portunidae
Description: partial 16S ribosomal RNA
Rfam family: Bacterial large subunit ribosomal RNA
Source: RNAcentral